This 254-nucleotide ribosomal RNA is filed under the name uncultured bacterium. Its description in RNAcentral is "partial 16S ribosomal RNA". It matches the Rfam family "Bacterial small subunit ribosomal RNA", at positions 524 to 776 of the family's 1533-position model. The record is from RNAcentral.
UACGGGGGAUGCAAGCGUUAUCCGGAUUUAUUGGGUUUAAAGGGUGCGUAGGCUGUGAGGUAAGUCAGCGGUGAAAUGCCCCCGCCCAACGGGGUGAAGUGCCAUUGAUACUGCCUUGCUGGAAUGCGGAUGCCGUGGGAGGAAUGUGUGGUGUAGCGGUGAAAUGCAUAGAUAUCACACAGAACACCGAUUGCGAAGGCAUCUCACGAAUCCGCUAUUGACGCUGAGGCUCGAAAGCGUGGGGAGCAAACAGG